CCAGCUGAGUUGGCGAUGUUCACUCGCGCGAGUGAACAUCGCCAACUCAGCUGGAUUCGGGGGGCAUUGCCUGCCCUACGCUCAGCGCAACACAACCGCAGACAUGCGACGGCCCUCGCCGGGACGGCAAUCCCAGUGCGAGGGCCUGACCACCGAGGAAGAGAGAGCUUCCCG
RNAcentral lists this non-coding RNA (174 nucleotides) under Streptomyces swartbergensis. RNAcentral's name for it is "Streptomyces sRNA 4677". It matches the Rfam family "Streptomyces sRNA 4677", at positions 71 to 246 of the family's 246-position model. From Rfam's summary of the family: Located in the intergenic region between anti-sigma factor SCO4677 gene and a putative regulatory protein gene SCO4676. scr4677 expression requires the SCO4677 activity and scr4677 sRNA itself seem to affect the levels of the SCO4676-associated transcripts. The record is from Rfam by way of RNAcentral. Lineage: Bacteria; Bacillati; Actinomycetota; Actinomycetes; Kitasatosporales; Streptomycetaceae.